Molecule: ribosomal RNA, 518 nt
Filed under: uncultured Vagococcus sp.
Lineage: Bacteria; Bacillati; Bacillota; Bacilli; Lactobacillales; Enterococcaceae
Description: bacterial SSU rRNA
Rfam family: Bacterial small subunit ribosomal RNA
Source: RNAcentral
GACGAACGCUGGCGGCGUGCCUAAUACAUGCAAGUCGGACGCUUCUUUUUCCACCUGGUGCUUGCACCAACCGGAGAAAGAGGAGUGGCGGACGGGUGAGUAACACGUGGGUAACCUGCCCAUUAGAAGGGGAUAACACUUGGAAACAGGUGCUAAUACCGUAUAAUUCUUACGACCGCAUGGUCGUUUGAUAAAAGACGCUUUCGGGUGUCACUAAUGGAUGGACCCGCGCUGCAUUAGUUAGUUGGUGAGGUAACGGCUCACCAAGACCAUGAUGCAUAGCCGACCUGAGAGGGUGAUCGGCCACACUGGGACUGAGACACGGCCCAGACUCCUACGGGAGGCAGCAGUAGGGGAAUCUUCGGCAAUGGACAAAGUCUGACCGAGCGACGCCGCGUGAGUGAAGAAGGUUUUCGGAUCGUAAAACUCUGUUGUUAGAGAAGAACAGGUGGGAGAGUAACUGUUCCACCUUGACGGUAUCUAACCAGAAAGCCACGGCUAACUACGUGCCAGCCGCC